This 1375-nucleotide long non-coding RNA is filed under the name Helianthus annuus (common sunflower). RNAcentral's name for it is "hypothetical non coding rna". Lineage: Eukaryota; Viridiplantae; Streptophyta; Magnoliopsida; Asterales; Asteraceae. The record is from RNAcentral.
CAGAGAGAGUGAGGCCAGAGAGAGUGAAGACGCUAUUGAGAGAGACAGACAACGUUGAGAGUGGGGGUCGGCCUAUGAUGCUGCUUACGGAUGUCGGGAUAGGUAACGGUGGUGUGGUUGGGGGUUUCACAACAACUGAUAACCGAUUUGGAGGAUAGUGUUGGUGGUUAAUUUGACGGCGGUGAAGAUGUGUGGAAUUGGUUGUUUGGGCGGGCAUAUCUGGUAGUAGAGGGGCUGCUGGUGGGUAGGGGCAACAACAAUGAAUCCUCAGUUAUGGUGUCGUCACUAACCAAAAGAGGGGAACCUUCUUUCAAUCCUUUCUUAGAUCAGAGGGUCUAGCUAGUUCAGGUGGCGGUGGGAGUGACGAUAUGGGGAGGACCUGACAACGGCGGUUUAGGGGUUUUUAAGACCAGAUCGGAGAUGGUGAUGAUAGUUUGAGGUCUGGUUGGACCAUAAACAGCCGAUUCGUUUGGAGAUUUGGGAUACUAAACAUUUAUUGGCGAUCUACAGACGAAAGCUCACGAAGAUCGGUUGUGGGAGUGACCAACAUAAUGGUGGUGGGUUCUAUGUUCUGAUGGAUGAUCUCACGAUUACGUGCUUUAUUUCCGGGAUAUGAAUAGAGGUAUGCAAUGAUCUUGGGUUAUGCAUUGGCAAAGAUGAACCAUUGACUUGACUGCAGGAGAUGAUAGAGAUGAUAAAACCUCCUUGAACCGCCAGUUUCAGUUAUUUUAUUGAGUUUAAGAAGAUAACCACCAUAGAAGUGGAGAUCAUGGGCAGAAUAAUAAUCAGGAGCAAAACCACCAACUGAGAAACUGCCCUGAACCGCCCCUGUAGCGGUUAAUUUUGUGAGUUUAAAGGGCUGAGAUUUCAUCUCAGCAUGAUUCAACGGUAGAGAUUGAUUCAAAAAGCGGUUAGACUUAAUGGGUUAAAGGUGACAUUUAGGUGGUUGAGUUAUGGAGAUAGUGGGCAGUAAAAGGUGGAGGUAACCACCAGAUACAAAAACCAACCAUAACCUUUUGGAACCGCCACAAGAGCGGUUAUUUUUGUGAGUUUAAAGGGCUGAGAUUUAAUCUCAGCAUGAUCGAACGGAUGAUAUUGAUUUCAAAGGUAACUGCCACUUAAUGGGUUCCAUAUAUAUAUAUAUAUAUAUAAUUUGGGCGGACAACUCAUGCAAACUAAUGGGCUGAAUAAUAUGGGGACCUGGGGCAGGCCAAUGAGCAAAGUCGGUGAUCGAGGCUUGGUUAUCCUUUGUUUAGCUUUGAAUCUUUGAUGUAGGUAUUUUUAAUCUACAGUUAAAUUUGUAUUAAAUUAUGAUAAUUAGCUUGCUUUUUUAGUUUUGUUAUUAUUGUUUUAUUCUGUUAAUUGACGGAUGAGU